Molecule: ribosomal RNA, 1206 nt
Filed under: Alexandrium margalefii
Lineage: Eukaryota; Dinophyceae; Gonyaulacales; Pyrocystaceae
Description: eukaryotic LSU rRNA
Rfam family: Eukaryotic large subunit ribosomal RNA
Source: RNAcentral
AAGUAAAGCAUGUAAACCUGCUGAAUUUAAGCAUAUAAGUAAGCGGUGGAAAAUGAACCAAAUGGGAUUCCUUAAGUAAUUGCGAAUGAAAAAGGAUAUGCUCAGCUUGAAAAUUGAAGCUUCUGGUUUUGAAUUGUAGUUUUGAAAUGUAUUGCCGAUGGAGGUGCAGGUGUAAGCCUGUUGGAAAACAGUGUCAGUGAGGGUGAGGUGCCUUUUUGUCAUUUGCAGUCCUCCAAGCACGGUAUAUAUUUGACGAGUCACACUCCUUGGCAUUGGAAUGCAAAGUGGGUGGUAAAUUCCAUGAAAAGGGAAAUACAUUUUUGAGACUGAUAGCAAACAAGUACCAUGAGGGAAAUAUGAAAAGGACUUUGAAAAGAGAAUUAAAAGAGUCUGCAUUUGCUGAACAGAAAGCAAACAGAAUGAAUUCUGCUUGGUUAGAUUAUUGUGCCGUCUGCUUUGUUUAUUUGUGUUGCAUCAGGGUGCAAUGGUUCUUUCCUUGAAUGCCAGCUUUAUUUCUGCAAAUCGUAAUCUUUGUGCAUGAAUGGAAAUACGUCUGCGGGUAUUGGAUUGCAUGUGUUUGUGGUGAUUUGUGAUUUACCUAUAUGUGUGUCUUGUGUUGGUGGCUUGUGAGCUUAAGGGUUGUUUUCAUUCUUGAGCAUGGGAAACCUUGAUUGCAUAUUUGCUGGCAACAUGUUUCUGCUUGACCCGUCUUGAAACACGGACCAAGGAGUCUAACAGAUGUGCAAAUUUGUGGGUGCGCAAACCUGUUUGUGAAAUGAAAGUAUUGGCUGGGAUACUUGCACCAGCAGCCGACCAAUUGGCAGACAGAGGUUUGAGCUUGAGCAUAUCUAUUAGGACCCGAAAGAUGGUGAACUAUGCCUGAACAGAAUGAAUUCAGAGGAAACUCUGAUGGAGGUUCGUAUCGUUACUGACGUGCAAAUCGUUCGUCAUACUUGGGUAUAGGGGCGAAAGACUAAUCGAACCAUCUAGUAGCUGGUUCCCUCCGAAGUUUCCCUCAGGAUAGCUGGAGUUGCACAGUUUUAUCAGGUAAAGCGAAUGAUUAGAGGAAUUGGGGGCAUGCUGUCCUUGACCUAUUCUCAAACUUUAAAUGGGUAAGAUGCAAUGGUUGCUUUUUUGAACUUUUGGAAUAAAUGGCAAUAUCAAGUGGGCCAUUUUUGGUAAGCAGAACUGGCGAUGAGGGAUGAA